CGGGAAGAGCUCAAAUUUGAAAGCUGGCGUCCUACGGGCGUCCGCAUUGUAAUCUAUAGAGGCGUUUUCUGUGCUGGACCGUGUCCAAGUCCCUUGGAACAGGGUAUCAAAGAGGGUGACAAUCCCGUACUUGACACGACAACCAGUGCUCUGUGAUACGUCUUCUAC
RNAcentral lists this ribosomal RNA (168 nucleotides) under Trimorphomycetaceae sp. RNAcentral's name for it is "partial large subunit ribosomal RNA". It matches the Rfam family "Eukaryotic large subunit ribosomal RNA", at positions 99 to 261 of the family's 3401-position model. The record is from RNAcentral. Lineage: Eukaryota; Fungi; Basidiomycota; Tremellomycetes; Tremellales; Trimorphomycetaceae.